GGGCGAUUAGCUCAGCUGGCAGAGCAGCUGACUCUUAAUCAGCGGGUCGCAGGUUCGAAUCCUGUAUCGCCCA
RNAcentral lists this transfer RNA (73 nucleotides) under subsurface metagenome. RNAcentral's name for it is "tRNA-Lys". It matches the Rfam family "tRNA". From Rfam's summary of the family: Transfer RNA (tRNA) molecules are approximately 80 nucleotides in length. The record is from RNAcentral.